Molecule: ribosomal RNA, 377 nt
Filed under: uncultured eukaryote
Lineage: Eukaryota
Description: partial 18S ribosomal RNA
Rfam family: Eukaryotic small subunit ribosomal RNA
Source: RNAcentral
CAAUAGCGUAUAUUUAAGUUGCUGCAGUUAAAAAGCUCGUAGUUGGAUUUCGGGUGGGAAUGGCCGGUCCGCCGUUUCGGUGUGCACUUGCUACGCCCACCUUGCUGCCGGGGACGUGCUCUUGAGUUCACGCUCGGGACACGGAGUCGGCGAGAUUACUUUGAGUAAAUUAGAGUGUUCAAAGCAGGCCUACGCUCUGAAUACAUUAGCAUGGAAUAACACGAUAGGACUCUGGCCUAUCUUGUUGGUCUGUAGGACCGGAGUAAUGAUUAAGAGGGACAGUCGGGGGCAUUCGUAUUUCAUUGUCAGAGGUGAAAUUCUUGGAUUUAUGAAAGACGAACUACUGCGAAAGCAUUUGCCAAGGAUGUUUUCAUUAA